RNAcentral lists this ribosomal RNA (353 nucleotides) under Eukaryota sp. RNAcentral describes it as "SSU rRNA". It matches the Rfam family "Eukaryotic small subunit ribosomal RNA", at positions 1325 to 1699 of the family's 1831-position model. The record is from RNAcentral.
GCGUUAACGAACGAGACCUUAACCUACUAAAUAGUUACAUCAUUUUCGAAUGAUGAGGAACUUCUUAGAGGGACUAUCGGAUUUAAACCGAUGGAAGUUUGAGGCAAUAACAGGUCUGUGAUGCCCUUAGAUGUUCUGGGCCGCACGCGCGCUACACUGACGAAGUCAGCGAGUAUUUUCCCUUCACCGGAAGGUGUCGGUAAUCUUGUGAAACUUCGUCGUGCUGGGGAUAGAUCAUUGCAAUUAUUGAUCUUCAACGAGGAAUUCCUAGUAAGCGCAAGUCAUCAGCUUGCGUUGAUUACGUCCCUGCCCUUUGUACACACCGCCCGUCGCUAAUACCGAUUGAAUGGUUU